AUUGAACGCUGGCGGCAGGCUUAACACAUGCAAGUCGAGCGGGGAGAUGUAGCUUGCUACAUUUCCUAGCGGCGGACGGGUGAGUAAUGCUUAGGAAUCUGCCUAUUAGUGGGGGACAACAUUCCGAAAGGAAUGCUAAUACCGCAUACGCCCUACGGGGAAAGCAGGGGAUCUUCGGACCUUGCGCUAAUAGAUGAGCCUAAGUCAGAUUAGCUAGUUGGUGGGGUAAAGGCCUACCAAGGCGACGAUCUGUAGCGGGUCUGAGAGGAUGAUCCGCCACACUGGGACUGAGACACGGCCCAGACUCCUACGGGAGGCAGCAGUGGGGAAUAUUGGACAAUGGGCGCAAGCCUGAUCCAGCCAUGCCGCGUGUGUGAAGAAGGCCUUUUGGUGUAAAGCACUUUAAGCGAGGAGGAGGCUACUUGGAUUAAUACUCUAGGAUAGUGGACGUUACUCGCAGAAUAAGCACCGGCUAACUCUGU
Molecule: ribosomal RNA, 482 nt
Filed under: uncultured bacterium
Lineage: Bacteria
Description: bacterial SSU rRNA
Rfam family: Bacterial small subunit ribosomal RNA
Source: RNAcentral